CUGGGGAGUACGACCGCAAGGCGAAACGAAAGGAAUUGAUGGCCCACCCGCACAAGCGGGGGAGCAUGUGGUUUAAUUCGAAGCAACGCGAAGAACCUUACCAAAUCUUGACAUCCUCUGACCCCUCUAGAGAUAGAGUUUUCCCCUUCGGGGGACAGAGUGACAGGUGGUGCAUGGUUGUCGUCAGCUCGUGUCGUGAGAUGUUGGGUUAAGUCCCGCAACGAGCGCAACCCUUAAGCUUAGUUGCCAUCAUUAAGUUGGGCACUCUAAGUUGACUGCCGGUGACAAACCGGAGGAAGGUGGGGAUGACGUCAAAUCAUCAUGCCCCUUAUGAUUUGGGCUACACACGUGCUACAAUGGACAAUACAAAGGGUAGCGAAACCGCGAGGUCAAGCAAAUCCCAUAAAGUUGUUCUCAGUUCGGAUUGUAGUCUGCAACUCGACUAUAUGAAGCUGGAAUCGCUAGUAAUCGUAGAUCAGCAUGCUACGGUGAAUACGUUCCCGGGCCUUGUACACAC
RNAcentral lists this ribosomal RNA (517 nucleotides) under uncultured Staphylococcus sp. RNAcentral describes it as "bacterial SSU rRNA". It matches the Rfam family "Bacterial small subunit ribosomal RNA", at positions 873 to 1390 of the family's 1533-position model. The record is from RNAcentral. Lineage: Bacteria; Bacillati; Bacillota; Bacilli; Caryophanales; Staphylococcaceae.